RNAcentral lists this ribosomal RNA (1357 nucleotides) under Gallicola barnesae. Its description in RNAcentral is "16S ribosomal RNA". It matches the Rfam family "Bacterial small subunit ribosomal RNA", at positions 30 to 1375 of the family's 1533-position model. Lineage: Bacteria; Bacillati; Bacillota; Tissierellia; Tissierellales; Peptoniphilaceae. The record is from RNAcentral.
CGAACGCUGGCGGCGUGAUNAAAACAUGCAAGUCGAACGAUCACCCUUCCAUUUNUCUAUUCGGAGAGAUUGAGGAGCGGGUUAGGGGAGAGGGGUUGAAUAACGUGUGAGCCACCCUGUCUAAACAAGGGGAUAGCCUCGGGACUCCGGGAUUUAUUCCGUAUGAGACCCCGCCUUCCCAUGUAGAAGAGGUUCAAAGAUUUUAUCGGUUUAAGAUGGGCUCGCGUCUGAUUAGCUAGUUGGUGAGAUAAAAGCCCACCAAGUCAACGAUCAGUAACCGGCUUGAGAGAGUGAACGGUCACAUUGGACACUGAGACACGGUCCAAACUCCUCAGGGAGGCAGCAGUGGGGAAUAUUGCACAAUGGGGGAAACCCUGAUGCAGCGACGCCGCGUGAGCGAUGAAGGAAUUCGUUUCGUAAAGCUCUGUCCUAGGGGAAGAUAAUGACAGUACCCUUGGAGGAAGCCCCGGCUAAAUACGUGCGCAGCAGCCGNNNNUUACGUAUGGGGCGAGCGUUGUCCGGAAUUAUUGGGCGUAAAGGGUACGUAGGCGGUUUCAUAAGUCAGAUGUAAAAGCGUGGGGCUCAACCCCAUAAAGCAUUUGAAACUGUGGAACUUGAGUAGUGGAGAGGAAAGUGGAAUUCCUAGUGUAGCGGUGAAAUGCGUAGAUAUUAGGAGGAAUACCAGUGGCGAAGGCGACUUUCUGGACACAAACUGACGCUGAGGUACGAAAGCAUGGGGAGCACACAGGAUUAGAUACCCUGGUAGUCCAUGCCGUAAACGAUGAAUGCUAGGUGUCGGGGGUCAAACCUCGGUGCCGCAGUUAACACAGUAAGCAUUCCGCCUGGGGAGUACGGUGGCAACACUGAAACUCAAUGGAUCAAAUGAANNNNNNNNGGCCCGCGCAAGCAGCGGAGCAUGUGGUUUAUUUCGAUGCAACGCGAAGAACCUUACCAGGACUUGACAUAUAGAUGAAAGAUCUAGAGAUAGAUCCCUCUCUUCGGAGACAGCUAUACAGGUGGUGCAUGGUUGUCGUCAGCUCGUGUCGUGAGAUGUUGGGUUAAGUCCCGCAACGAGCGCACCCCCUAUAGCUAGUUACCAGCACUUCGGGUGGGGACUCUAGUUAGACUGCCGAUGAUAAAUCGGAGGAAGGUGGGGAUGACGUCAAAUCAUCAUGCCCUUUAUGUCCUGGGCUACACACGUGCUACAAUGGUCGGUACAGAGGGCAGCGAGACUGUGAAGUUAAGCGAAUCUCAGAAAGCCGACCCCAGUUCGGAUUGCAGGCUUGCAACUCGCCUGCAUGAAGUCGGAGUUGGUAGUAAUCGCAGAUCAGAAUGCUGCGGUGAAUGCUUGCCGCUC